RNAcentral lists this ribosomal RNA (650 nucleotides) under Candidatus Thalassarchaeaceae archaeon. Its description in RNAcentral is "partial 23S ribosomal RNA". It matches the Rfam family "Archaeal large subunit ribosomal RNA", at positions 2376 to 2987 of the family's 2987-position model. Lineage: Archaea; Methanobacteriati; Thermoplasmatota; Candidatus Poseidoniia; Candidatus Poseidoniales; Candidatus Thalassarchaeaceae. The record is from RNAcentral.
CCCAAAGGUCGGCUCAGGUGGGACAGAAAUCCACCGUAGAGGGCAAGGCUAAAAGCCGGCCUGACUGGGUUCUCAAAAGCACAGAACCCAGGAGCGAAAGCUUGGCCUAGCGAUCCUCCAGGUCCCCACUGUUGGGGGCUGAAGGUGACAAAAAAGUUACCCCAGGGAUAACAGGCUUGUCGCGGGUGAGAGCUCAAAUCGACCCCGCGGAUUGGUACCUCGAUGUCGGCUCUUCCCAUCCUGGUCCUGCAGCAGGGGCCAAGGGUGGGGCUGCUCGCCCAUCAAAGGGGAACGUGAGCUGGGUUUAGACCGUCGUGAGACAGGUCGGCCUCUAUCUGAUAGAAGCGAUGGCCGUCUGAGGGGAAGCUGUCCUCAGUACGAGAGGAACAGGGCAGCGUGGCCUCUGGCGUACCGGUUGUCUGAUAAGGCAGUUGCCGGGCAGCUAAGCUAUUGAGGAUAAGAGCUGAAAGCAUCUAAGCUCGAAGCCUCUCCUGAGAAUAGACCGCCUUCCACAUUUCUACUUCUUUCGGGAAGUAGGUGUGGACGAGAGCUGGGAUAGAAGAUCCCGUUGAUGGGGCAGAGGUGUAAUCUGAAAGGCUUCGGCCGAUCAGUUCAGCCUGCUGCUUCCAAUCGCUCAAGGUGUCAGAAAU